GGCCUCGUAGCUCAGUUGGCUAGAGCAUUGACUGUACUUAAACUUUCCCUUAGUGGUGUGAGUUUGAAUCCCACCGAGGCCG
RNAcentral lists this transfer RNA (82 nucleotides) under Schistocephalus solidus. It matches the Rfam family "tRNA". Rfam says of the family: Transfer RNA (tRNA) molecules are approximately 80 nucleotides in length. Their secondary structure includes four short double-helical elements and three loops (D, anti-codon, and T loops). Lineage: Eukaryota; Metazoa; Platyhelminthes; Cestoda; Diphyllobothriidea; Diphyllobothriidae. The record is from Rfam by way of RNAcentral.